This 253-nucleotide ribosomal RNA is filed under the name uncultured bacterium. RNAcentral's name for it is "partial 16S ribosomal RNA". It matches the Rfam family "Bacterial small subunit ribosomal RNA", at positions 524 to 776 of the family's 1533-position model. The record is from RNAcentral.
UACGUACCGUCCAAACGUUAUUCGGAAUCACUGGGCUUAAAGAGUUCGUAGGCGGCUCAGAAAGUUGGGUGUGAAAUCCCUCGGCUCAACCGAGGAAUUGCGCUCAAAACUACUGGGCUAGAGGGAGAUAGAGGUGAGCGGAACUGAUGGUGGAGCGGUGAAAUGCGUUGAUAUCAUCAGGAACACCGGAGGCGAAGGCGGCUCACUGGGUCUUUCCUGACGCUGAGGAACGAAAGCUAGGGGAGCGAACGGG